CGGUGACGUUUGGUCUGAGCUGACCUUUCCUCACAAUCGUGAAUUUGGGCUGUGAGGAUCAGGCCUUGCCAGAACCCGAGAUGAGAGGUGAGAGAUUUCUGGGUCAGUAAGGGUGAGAGCCAGGCUCCAGACUAUAGUGAAUUUUCCGAGGAGAUUUGUGUGGGUCCUGAAUGCCAUCCCAAGUGUCCUUAUAAGAGAGAGGCAAAAGAGGCAAUAGAGACACAGAAAAGAAAGCCAUGUGAAGAUGGAGCAGAGAGAUACACGGCCAUAAGCCAAGGAAUGCUGACAGCUGCCAGAAGCUGGAAGAAGGCAAGGAAUGGACUCUCCCCUACAGCCUCCAGAGGCAAUGCAGCCCUGCCAACACUUUGAUUUUAGACUUCUGGCCUAUAGAACUGAGAAAGAAUAAAUUUCUGUUCUUUUCAGCUACUAAGUUUGUGAUCACUUGGUGCAGCAUUUACAGGAAACAAAUACACCUCUCCUUCUAGAACUCCAAUUAUGUGAACAUUAGACCAUCUAAUAUUGCCCCACAUGUUCC
Molecule: long non-coding RNA, 535 nt
Filed under: Pan troglodytes (chimpanzee)
Lineage: Eukaryota; Metazoa; Chordata; Mammalia; Primates; Hominidae
Description: long non-coding RNA NONPTRT006875
Source: RNAcentral